GGUGGUCCCAGUAUUUCAUGCUGUGGCACCUUGACUGGACAUAGUGGCAUUACAUGUAGGAGGCAAAUUCUCUCCAACAUGAGGAAAAGAAAGCAGGAAACUGUGACUAAAUGAAGAUCACAGAGCCAGUUGAUCAGUGGGGAAGCUGCAUCUGAAAUCCAGGACUUCUAGAUCCUGGGUCAACUGGAGGGGUCAUGCAUUCUGGAAAAAGAUGUAGAGUGGUACAGGCUGAAAGCGGAGCGGAGAGGACACUGUUUCAAGAUUCCUGCGCCAGCUCCUUCGUUGUUAUAGAAGUUGGACUAAAUAAAAGGAAUUUUCAAAGAUGUUUGGAAAUGUGGCCCGUUAGCUAUAGCAGCCAUGAAGAUGUAGGACAAUUGAUUUGA
Molecule: long non-coding RNA, 383 nt
Filed under: Gorilla gorilla gorilla (western lowland gorilla)
Lineage: Eukaryota; Metazoa; Chordata; Mammalia; Primates; Hominidae
Description: lncRNA (ENSGGOG00000044235.1)
Source: RNAcentral